AGCUCAGCCAGAAAUGCCAAAGCCAGAGCUCCCGGGUAUCAUGGCGCCAGCCGAGUCACCUUAAACCGUGCUGCUCUCCCUGCAGUGCCCACAGGCUCCGCUGAGGAGUGGGAGCCCUUGCUGGGAGGGCCAGGCCUGCCCUGCAAGGAGCUGGUGGGACCCUCAGAGCCCCUGCAGGGGGACGUGCCUGAGGCUGCGGCCUGAGGCUGGCUCCAGGCGACCUUCCUGCCAAGCCCUGGGACAGGAGGGGCAGCUGUGGCUUCCCCUCGAGCUAUAAAAAGCCCAAGCCCGGCCCAGCGAGCAGAGGGCAGAGCGAGGGACAGGACGCACAGGACUCGGAGCGCAGAGCUUGGCCCAGCAACAUGAGGUUGGGCCCCGCCAUCAGGCUGCUGCAAGCCCCCCUGCGGGCCUGUGUGGUCCCCAAGGCGCACAUCUCCGCCAAGCCGGCCAAAACACCCACUUCUGCCCCCGAGCAGGCCGUGGCGCUCGUGGCGACGUUCCUCAGCUUCAUGGUCCCCGCCGGCUGGGUGCUGUCCCACCUGGACAGCUACAAGAGCCGCUCCGCCGAGUGAGGCUCUGCCCAGCCAGGCGGGCGGCCGCCGCCGUGGACACGGGAGGGGGCGCUCAUUAAACCCUCCCCCACCGAA
Myotis daubentonii (Daubenton's bat) is the source of this 647-nucleotide long non-coding RNA. RefSeq lists it as uncharacterized. NCBI's taxonomy places the organism in Eukaryota, Metazoa, Chordata, Mammalia, Chiroptera, Vespertilionidae. The transcript has 2 exons. The record is from RefSeq and is a predicted model, not a curated record.